Long non-coding RNA from Cyanistes caeruleus (blue tit), 373 nucleotides. RefSeq lists it as uncharacterized. The record is from RefSeq and is a predicted model, not a curated record. NCBI's taxonomy places the organism in Eukaryota, Metazoa, Chordata, Aves, Passeriformes, Paridae.
UGUACCAGGCCAGGCACAUUUUGAUGGAAUUGCUGAUGGCUCAUCUUCACCUGUUAGAAGAUGUCAGGCAGUUUGGCCAUUUCAGCUGGAGUGGCCAGGGCAUCUGCUGUCUGACUACCUUCUGUGAUAAAGCCUGUCAGCUCCAGGAUGGUGGCUUUCUUAGCACAGACUUUAAUCAUGAGGUCGAGAGUCGGCGGCGGAUUGAAUGGAAGGCCCAGGAUGAACUUCUUGCAUGUAUCAUCAGCAUUUGCCUGGGCCAUCUCUGUCAUGAUCUCCACUUGCAUCAGCCAACUCUCCACCUGCUUCUCUACUUCCACUCGGAGCCUCUCAACAAAAUCUAUAAAAAACUCAGAGGAAAACUCCUGGAUGUUGA